Long non-coding RNA from Rhincodon typus (whale shark), 1818 nucleotides. RefSeq lists it as uncharacterized. Lineage: Eukaryota; Metazoa; Chordata; Chondrichthyes; Orectolobiformes; Rhincodontidae. The record is from RefSeq and is a predicted model, not a curated record. The transcript is spliced from 3 exons.
AUUAUUACAAUCACGCCAUAUUUAAUCACUCACUGUGAGGUUUUCUUCUCUUGAUUUUCCAGCUUCCUUUUCCUCAGUUGUUCACGAUCCCGCAAACGAUACGGAAGAAUUCCUGGUGGGAAACAACAAACUGUUCAGAUAACAAGAUAGUCAGCAUUCUUCACAAAGUGGAAGCUAUUGUGAAUGACCUGCUUGUCUAUGAACAUUGAAAUGGAAUGCAAGAAGCCAUUACUGAUCCCAAUCAGAAUCAAGUAUGAAUGCCACAGAAAGCUCACCAGCUGAACACAAGAAAAGGUGCCAUUCAAAAUACCCACAGUCAAGGAUAAACCAUAGGAUGCUGAAUGCUGGCUCUGAUCAGAAGCUUGACAUUAAUUGCAGAUAUGAAGCAGUCCACCAUUUAAACUGACACUUCCAACCAAAGAAACGAUAUAACAAACAGAAGUUGCAUUCAUAUUGUACCUUUAAUUUAGAAAAGCCUCUAAACUUGACAAAAGAGCAUUGUCAGACCAACAGUGACAUAAGAAGAUGCAUUCAGGAAACUCGAUUUUGUAUGUCAAAGUUGAAUUUUCUGAACUGUUUCAGAAAGCCUUCUGCAUGUGUAUGUGUCAAAGGUAGAUAGUGUUCCUGCUGCUCAGUCAAAAGGUUAGAUAUCAAAUCCUCCUGCAAAUCUAACACUCCUGCAUAGAAUUACAGUGUACUGCAUCGUUGGAUAUGUCAUUUUUUUGAAAUAGAUAUUUAGCCUAAAUUUCAUCCAACCUUGUGGGUGGAUGUACUGUAGAUUACAGCUCUUUGUCAAUAACAGAUGACUGUAAUCGAUAAAUAGCAGGAAGCGUUCUUAUUUGACCUUCAAUCAACACCACAAAACAGUAUUUCUGAAAAAAAAUGUAUUUUGAUAAAACUUUUCUUUCAGGACAAUUCACAAAACAAUACAAACAUAAAGGGAAAAAUAACAGUUUAUACCAUAUGAAAAGAGGGAAUCUGCUUGCCAACUAAUUGAAAACCUCAGCACAACUUGCAUGUGCACUUAGCCAAAAAAAUGUAAUAUUCAGCCCUGCUCCUUAUUCAAUUGGCUGAAAAGUGUUUUUGACAUCUUUAGGUUGUGAGAGGGUGAUUUAUAAAUACCAGCCUCACUUACUUUCAAAAUACUUUCAACCCUGUGGAAAAGCAAGGAAAUCAAACAAACCAAUCUGAAUUUAUCACAACUUUCUUCAUGUUGGUAGGAUUUGAAGGUUCUGGUAAGUGAGUCAAUAUUUUUGAUAUUGGUCGACCCAGUGAACUUUGCCAACUCUUUCUGCUUUGCUUUGAAGUGUGACACUACUCCCUGGACUUUCAAUAUUUAUCACCUUUCACUUUCUCUUUAAUCUUCCUUCCAACCCCACUGCUUUGAAACAUCCACACAGAUUUUGUUUCUUUAGUUUGAUUUCUUUUGUUAAUAUUUCCAUUAUCUAACUGAAAUGAUCCAAUUAUUUUACCAAUAGCCACAUUCAUUGUUGUUCAGCUGUUUGUAUUUUAUUUUCCCUUCCUUUUUUUGAUUCUAAAACUAAAUGUGUCAGUCUCCUUAAUUUUCAUUUUGAAUAAAUGUACAAGCCUAAAACUUUGCAACAGGACAAAUAAUGUUGAGUGCAGAUGCCAGCUGCAUGUCUGACAUUUCCUGCUUUUGUUGACAAAGGUUAUGCCUGAGCUGGAUAACACCCAGUGGAAAACAUCAAGCACACUGUACAGUUUUGGCGCUAAUUCAUUGAGGCACUAUGCAGUCCAAGACCAGAGUUAUCUAAAAGGAACAUUCUGUAAGCACUCAAUAAACAUUGCUGUUUGACA